GACGAACGCUGGCGGCGUGCUUAACACAUGCAAGUCGAACGGAAAGGCCCUGCUUUUGUGGGGUGCUCGAGUGGCGAACGGGUGAGUAACACGUGAGUAACCUGCCCUUGACUUUGGGAUAACUUCAGGAAACUGGGGCUAAUACAGGAUAGGAGCUCCUGCUGCAUGGUGGGGGUUGGAAAGUUUCGGCGGUUGGGGAUGGACUCGCGGCUUAUCCGCUUGUUGGUGGGGUAGUGGCUUACCAAGGCUUUGACGGGUAGCCGGCCUGAGAGGGUGACCGGCCACAUUGGGACUGAGAUACGGCCCAGACUCCUACGGGAGGCAGCAGUGGGGAAUAUUGCACAAUGGGCGGAAGCCUGAUGCAGCAACGCCGCGUGCGGGAUGACGGCCUUCGGGUUGUAAACCGCUUUCGCCUGUGACGAAGCGUGAGUGACGGUAAUGGGUAAAGAAGCACCGGCUAACUACGUG
This 468-nucleotide ribosomal RNA is filed under the name uncultured bacterium. RNAcentral describes it as "partial 16S ribosomal RNA". It matches the Rfam family "Bacterial small subunit ribosomal RNA", at positions 28 to 507 of the family's 1533-position model. The record is from RNAcentral.